GAUGAAGAACGCAGUGAAAUGCGAUAAUUAAUGUGAAUUGCAGAAUUCAGUGAAUCAUCGAGUCUUUGAACGCACAUUGCGCCCCCUGGUAUUCCGGGGGGCAUGCCUGUCCGAGCGUCAUUGCUGCCCUCAAGCACGGCUUGUGUGUUGGGCUUCCGUCCCUGGCAACGGGGACGGGCCCAAAAGGCAGUGGCGGCACCAUGUCUGGUCCUCGAGCGUAUGGGGCUUUGUCACCCGCUCCCGUAGGUCCAGCUGGCAGCUAGCCUCGCAACCAAUCUUUUUAACCAGGUUGACCUCGGAUCAGGUAGGGAUGCCCGCUGAACUUAAGCAUAUCGAUAAGCGGAGGA
RNAcentral lists this unclassified non-coding RNA (347 nucleotides) under soil metagenome. RNAcentral's name for it is "partial contains 5.8S ribosomal RNA, internal transcribed spacer 2, and large subunit ribosomal RNA". The stretch from base 1 to 120 matches the Rfam family "5.8S ribosomal RNA", at positions 35 to 154 of the family's 154-position model. The record is from RNAcentral.